Long non-coding RNA from Strongylocentrotus purpuratus (purple sea urchin), 967 nucleotides. RefSeq lists it as uncharacterized. The transcript is spliced from 2 exons. Lineage: Eukaryota; Metazoa; Echinodermata; Echinoidea; Camarodonta; Strongylocentrotidae. The record is from RefSeq and is a predicted model, not a curated record.
UGGUAGAAGGCGCAUCACCGAGUGCGGACGUGCAUAGAGAGCCUGCUGAUCGCGGCGCCUCAUUUGGGAUUGGAGUUCUGAUGCUGGUGUUGGUGGUGGUGGCUUCGGCAGUACUUGGUAGUGGUGGUAAUACGAGAUGCAAACUACUCAUCCCUGCGUCUUGCGAUUCGAAUUUUGAUAGGGUUUCCCAAAUCUCUUCAAUCGUCUCUCGGAUCUGAGAACACGAACAUCGCACUCCAGUGACCAUUGUUACAGCACAUCUCCUGCAAGUUUCGAAUAUUUGACAGCUGCAAUGUGUUGAUGGAGCACUAUACUAUAAUCCUCAAAUGACUACAUGGUCCGAAGAUAGAAGAGAAGUAAUUGACGUAAGAACUGGUGGCAAAUUACAUCAGAGCUGAUGCAGACGACAUAAUUGAAAUCGAUACAGAUAUCGAUAAAGCAAUUUUUCGCCACGAGGUAGCAUAUUCUCCACUUUUUACCCCGUAUUAACAAUGUGGCUGAUGAGGAAUCUUAUGAACCAUCAGCCUCGCUGUCAAUACGAGGUAAGGAGUGACAACCAACCAAUCAACGACCAGGACUCAAUUUGCUCAGCCAAUCAGCUACCAAAGAUGAAAUUUGGUCUCCAUGGUGACCAGUGACAUCGUAGUAGCGCUGUAAAAGUUAGUUGACGUCACCGUAGGCACCUAACUUCUUACAAUUUAAAGAGCAGUUCACUGAUAUUUGAUCAGCUUUAAAAAAUAUUACGAAACCAAAAUAAAUCAGUCAGUUAGUAUAAAGCUUUAUCUUAAACAUACAAUUAUGUAUCAUAGAAUGAAAAAUUGAUGUGCUUCUGUAAACGAUUUACUGAAAUAAUUGUACCGUCUCUACUCACUUAUAGAUCAAAAUACCUUCAGUUAAUGAAUUUGAAAUACUUACAUGUUGAAAAUCUAUGAAACAAAUAAAUUGGCUAAAAUUAUAUUACUUCUCA